AGCGAUGAAGUUUCUUCGGAAAUGGAUUAGCGGCGAACGGGUGAGGAACACGUGAAGAAUCUGCCCUCCACUUUGGGAUAACACCGGGAAACCGGUGCUAAUACUGAAUAUUGAAACAUAAGUGGCAUCACUGAGUUUUGAAAGAAUUUCGGUGGAGGAUGACUUCGCGGCCUAUCAGCUAGUUGGUGAGGUAAUGGCUCACCAAGGCAACGACGGGUAGCCGGCCUGAGAGGGCGACCGGCCACACUGGGACUGAGACACGGCCCAGACUCCUACGGGAGG
Molecule: ribosomal RNA, 282 nt
Filed under: uncultured bacterium
Lineage: Bacteria
Description: partial 16S ribosomal RNA
Rfam family: Bacterial small subunit ribosomal RNA
Source: RNAcentral